GGAAUCUUAUGUUCGUCAAGAUUGUUUUGUUUACCAGAAUUGAGUAUUUUAGAUUUCUGCUAAAAGUUGUGUUUAAUAAUUGUUGGAUUGUGUUUUAAGUAGAUGAAGUAUACAGGAUGUCACGUAGUAUCAAGGAGAAAUAUGAGAACACCAAUCCUCGGCGAAACCACACAGUUAUGUCUCCUGAAGAUGCUGCUGCCGGGAAGAGGACCAACUGGUCGGAGUUGGAGAUAACAGGAUCUAUUCGCAAUCUAAGCCCCAAGCUAUGGCACCUAACAAAUCUGACGUGCCUGUACCUGAAUGAUAACAACUUGGUCCGUGUGCCAGCUGAAAUCCAACAAUUGGGGUUGUUACGCAUGCUGGACCUGUCCUGUAACAAACUUCGCAGUCUUCCUGCGGAACUUGGCGAACUAAUUUAUCUCAGGGAACUGCUGUUAAAUCACAAUCAUAUUCGGACACUGCCAUAUGAAUUGGGAAAACUCUUUCAGCUUCAAAUUUUGGGAUUGGCCGGAAACCCUCUCAGUAAAGAAUGUCUCAAGCUGUACAGUGAAGCCAACGGUACCCAGAAACUGCUCACUUACCUUCUGGACAGCUUACAAGUGAGAUCUCCACAACCACCGGAGAGACCAUGGAUCCCGCUGGCUAGGCCGAAUACGACGAAACCUACAUGUCUCAUGACAGUGAUGUGCUACAAUGUGUUGUGCGACAAGUACGCUACCCGUCAGAUGUACGGCUACUGUCCAUCCUGGGCGCUCACCUGGGAGUAUCGUAAGAAGGCAAUCCUUGCAGAGAUCAGGCACUACACCGCCGACAUUAUCAGCUUGCAGGAGGUGGAGACUGACCAAUUUUACAAGUUCUUCCUGCCAGAACUGAAGCGUGAUGGCUAUGACGGAAUAUUCUCACCUAAGUCGAGAGCUAAGACCAUGUCAGAGAACGAGCGGAAGUAUGUAGAUGGCUGUGCUAUAUUCUACAGAACUGCCAAGUUCUCACUCAUCAAGGAGCACCUGGUGGAAUUCAAUCAGCUGGCGAUGGCCAACUCUGAAGGUUCUGAUGACAUGCUCAACCGUGUCAUGCCCAAGGAUAACAUUGGGCUUGCAGCGUUGCUCAAAACCAAGGAGGCAGCUUGGGACAACGGUCUGCCGCCGGAUGUCCACCAGGUUCACCAACCACUCCUGGUCUGCACAGCUCACAUUCACUGGGAUCCGGAGUUCUGUGAUGUCAAGUUGAUCCAGGUGAUGAUGUUGUCCCACGCACUCCGUGGUAUACUUGAAGAGUCCAGCCUUCAUUUCCGCCCCAACUCCAACAAUACUCCAGUUCAGCUUCUGCUCUGCGGCGACUUCAACUCUCUCCCAGACUCUGGGGUUAUUGAAUUUUUAUCAUCUGGCCGUGUGUCAUCUGACCAUCAAGAGUUCAAGGACCUGCCAUACAAAUCUGUACUUCAGAAGAUCUCAGGCAGUGAAAAGCCUAAUGAGUUCACACAUUCCUUCAAACUGUCAUCAGCGUACAGUGAAGACAUUAUGCCUUACACAAACUACACGUUCCACUUCAAAGGUAUCAUUGAUUACAUAUUUUAUUCAAAACAGUACAUGACACCACUAGGACUACUGGGGCCCCUUGCUCCUGAAUGGCUGAAAGAAAACAAGGUGAUAGGCUGUCCACACCCGCACAUACCUUCCGAUCACUUCCCUCUGCUGGUGGAGCUGGAAAUGACGCCAAGUGUGAUGGGCCAGAGCAAUGGGCUGAUCCGAAGGUAGCACCAGGCAGCUCCCGUCUCUAGUCCACACCGAGGUGUUCUCCCCAUCUGUGCCUAAUCAGUACAAACCACUCACUUUUUGGGAUGUAUCUGUCCCACCUUGGUAUGAAGAAGCCACUGAGAAGUCGUAGUUAACUCUCAAACCUGAAUCAGAAAACCUGUUGCAAAUGGUAAUUUUUAUGCACUUUCAAGCACAAAGAAUUUUUAUAUAUUUUAACACUACCAUUUAUACAGAAUAUACAAAAAGUAUAUACCUUAAAAAUAUUUAAAAAUAAAAAUUGUAAUAUUGUAAUGGAUGUUUUUUUUAAUGUAAUGUUCGAUAAAUAAACAGUUUAUGAUUGUUAAAGUAAGUGAAAGUUCCAAUCACAUAAUUGGAUACAGUUGGUGCAGUAUUCCCCCCUUGCUUCUUAUCAUUCCAACAGUUAAUAAUAAAUUGUGUCAAUUAAAGGCAUUGGUAGGAGUGGAGUGGAGUGGUGUGGUGUGGGCUUGUCCUCUAAAAUCACGUGUUCAUCCAGUUCGACUGUAAUUUAUUUCAUUGUUUUAGACCUAAGGCAAAUAUGGCAGCCACACUUAAAUGCGGUUCACGAUUUACUAGACAUUAAGUAAGUCUCUAAAUGUUUUAUUUACAGUGGUACCUUCGAGUACCGAGGUUUUACUUCGAGGGUUAGGUGACUGAUGUUUGCUCUGUUUUGCUGACAGAAACUUAUGUGAUGUGUUUUACAAUAAAAGUUGUUUCGCAAAGCGUUUUUCCAGUUACCACAUUUCAUGGAUCUGUAGAAACAUGUGUUGUCCGCACACAAGAUUAUUUACACUCUCUUAUUUUGAAAAACAGUAAUUUUUGUGGUACAAGUGUAUUCAGCAUGAUUUUUACUACUUAAGAAAAAUUUGUUUGCAUUUACUUGUGACUUAACCUUGUACCGGUAUUGAAUCAUUGUGAUAAACGGGAACAUUUAGCGACUUCCUGUGAAUUUUUAGCUGAUAGCUUGUAAGUGGCGUUUAAGUGUGGUCCAUACUGUGUUAAAAUAGCUAUACAUUAGUUUAAGCACCACUUUCAAGAAUUUACAUAAGUUAAAUCAAACACUGUAGUAGUCUUGUAUUGAAUGUCGUCGGGUGAUAAGGAAGAUCUCAGUGCCUGAGUAUUCUAAUUGGCCGAUGGUACAAUUCAUAGAUAGGCUUUAACUAAUCUCUAGUUAUUUUUUCAACUGUUUUUUACCAUGUUAGAGCUAGGUAACUCUCCGGUCUGUGUAUAUAUGAGAGUGACUGGGCGAUACAUAGGUGAGACAGUCUAUGGACUCACUCAUGGUUUAUUUAUUUAUGUAGUUAUGUUUAGCUUAAGUCUUAGAUUACUGGGUGGUAUAUGAAGGGUGUAUCGUGAUAUAUUUUAGCAUCCGACCGAUAAACUAAUAAUUUUUUAACUUUAGAUUAUUGUAUUUUUAUAUUGUUAUAUUUUAUUAUGACAAAAAUUUCAGAGUAAAUUAUUUAUAUUUAAUUCAUGACUGUAAUUGUUUGCGUAUUUUGUGUUUUUUUUUUUUGGAUGAAAGACAGUAAUUUUUAGUUUUUGUCCAUUAACAUUUCAGAGAGAUUUAGAAAUUAAAGUUUAUUUUUAAUUUAUUGAGCCAAAUUUCAGUAUUGAAUUAUUGUACAUUGAAGAUUUCUUUUCUUUUGGUAAAAGUUUUUUACUAUAAGAACUUAUACGAUUGAUAAUAUUUUCUGUGUUGUGAAUUAAAGGUAAAGCAAUAUAUCAGGCUAUUUUGUGAAUAAAUAUUGAUAUACUUAUAAUAUUUUAUGUGGUACGUUGUAAAAAUUAACACUGUCUUUUGUCCAUAUAUUUCUGUCAAGUAUUUGGAAAUCCUUUAUUUAAGUAGCAGAUUAUAGAUUAUCUUUUUGUAUUUUUUAUAAGUAUUGGUUUUUAUUUCUCUACUGUUGUAUUGGCUUAAAUCCUAAAGUUAUGUAGGCUUUUGAACACCUCUACAGCAUGCAACGGUUAUCUGUUAGGUUAUAAAGAUGGGUUGUACUUAGAUUUACGCAUUUGUUUUGGGUUAUUGUGAUCAACCUGUUUAAUUUACUCAGAUGUUUAGUAAUCUACAACCAAUCAUUGUUGAUAAAAUUUGUUUUUAUCAUUUAUGUGCAUGACAUGUCAAUAAACGUAUUAAUCUUUCUGA
Molecule: unclassified non-coding RNA, 3915 nt
Filed under: Homalodisca vitripennis (glassy-winged sharpshooter)
Lineage: Eukaryota; Metazoa; Arthropoda; Insecta; Hemiptera; Cicadellidae
Description: cCR4-NOT transcription complex subunit 6-like, transcript variant X3
Source: RNAcentral